This 301-nucleotide ribosomal RNA is filed under the name uncultured bacterium. RNAcentral describes it as "partial 16S ribosomal RNA". It matches the Rfam family "Bacterial small subunit ribosomal RNA", at positions 509 to 808 of the family's 1533-position model. The record is from RNAcentral.
CAGUAGCCGCGGGAAUACGAAGGGGGCUAGCGUUGCUCGGAAUGACUGGGCGUGAAGGGCGCGUAGGCGGCGGCCAAAGUCAGGCGUGAAAUUCCCGGGCUCAACCUGGGGGCUGCGUUUGAUACUUGGUUGCUUGAGUGGUGAGAGAGGUAAGUGGAAUUUCCAGUGUAGAGGUGAAAUUCGUAGAUAUUGGAAAGAACACCAGUGGCGAAGGCGGCUCACUGGCCCGAUACUGACGCUGAGGCACGAAAGCGUGGGGAGCAAACAGGAUUAGAUACCCGCGUAGUCCCUGUCUCUUAUA